UUAGCUGCAGCACACAUAAUAUUAAAACAUAGUAGAAAGGGUCCACUCCCAAGUCCAGUCCCUAUGCACAAAGAAAUGAUUCUCAGAUAACAUGGCUAAAGGAAUCUCGGAUAGUUCUAUGGAUUCUGCACAAAGGACUGCCAAAGUCACAGAAGUCAGUUCAUGUCAACAAGGUAAAACAUAUUGCAUAACAAGAUCAAUAUACAGCACGGAUUUAGAUAGUGUUAUCUGCAAAGUAAUAAUGAUAACAACACUAAAGGACAUAAACAAGGCAGGAUGUUCCUGGAGGGCGUUUAUGAUAGCUUCCUCCUCCGAGGCUCCAAGUGAUAGAGAAGCCAAUUAGGAGAGGUGCACUGCUGGACCCCAUACUCAACAACAAGAAGGGGCUUGUUGGGGAUGUGGAGAUCAAAGACAGCCUUUUGUGUAGGCCAGCCUGCAGUGAGAUCAUGGAAUUGAGGAUCCCAAGGGCAGGGAGAGUGGAAAAACAAGGUCACAACUCUGGACUUCAGGAGAACAGACUUUGGCCUCUUCAAAGAUCUUGGAAAAGUGCUGUGGGAUAAGGCCCUGGAGGAAAGGUGGGGCUAAGAAAGCUGAUAAAUGUUGAAGAAUUACCUCCUACAAACUCGAGAGAGUUCCGUUCCAGUGAAAAAGAACUCAGACAAAAAUGCCAAGAGGGCCAUGUGGAUCAAGAAAGAGCCUCUGGCCAAACUCAAACACAAAAAGGAUGCAAGAAUGGGUAACCUGGGAGGAAUACAGAAACAUCGUCUAAACAUUUAUGGAUGAAGCUUGGAAAGCUAAAACCCAAAUGGAUUUGAAUCUGGUCAGAGGUGAUGAAGACAACAAGAAAGGUUUCUAUGAGUACAUGGCCGACAAAAGAAAGACUAGGAAAAAUGUGGGCACAUUGCUCAAUGAGAUGGAGUAUCUGGCUACCGGGGCAUGGAAAAAGUUGAGGUACUGAAUGACUUCUUUGCUUCUGUCUUUACUAGCAACACCAGCCUUCAGGAAUUCCAGGUCCUGAAGACCAGGAGGAAAGAUUGGAUCAAGGAACAGGUACCCUUGGUGAAAGAGGAUCAGAUCAUGGAAUACUUAAACAAACUGGACAUAUAUGAGUCCAUGAGCCUUAAUGGGAUGCAUCUACAAAUGCUGGAGGGAGGUGGCAGAUGUCAUUGUGAGGCCACUCUCAAAAAUCUUUGAUGGGAGAAGCAGGAAAGCUAUGAUGUAGUCGCCACCACAGAAAUGCGGUGGGAUGACUCGCAUGACUGGAGUGCUGCCGUGGAUGGCUACAGGCUCUUCAGAAGGGACAGGCAAGACUACUGCCAGAUGUCUCACAAGCUACAUGGGAAUAUGGUCUAUGAAUGGGCACAUACAUGAUUUGGCCACCACACAGUGUGGCCACUUUUAACAGUCCAAGAGCAUCUCAGAUUUCAGAUUUUCUAAAGAUGUCCAAUGUGCUCCAAGAAACAGAUGCCAGUGACUAUUCUAUGACAACAUGCUGAGGCACUUCAGCACCACAGAGCACUAUUGCAACUGUAUGAUCCCUCAUGGAUAUAUUUCCCACUGUCAAUUACUAUUUCAGCACCUCCUAAAUGAUGAAUUCUGUCAAGUUGGUGUGCAGAAGGAGAGGCAGCACCCAAGUCAGCCUCUGCUGUAUUGAUGGUCACAGCCCCAGAGGUAAGACAAGUUGGCACUGCUUGGGGCCAUGAAUUUCAGGCAGAUGCCUCCUUUUCCUUGGGUGGAGACACAGACAUAGGAUCCUUCCUCCUUCCAUCACUGUCCUCAACAUUAUCUGGGCGGUGACAUCUAAACUUGACAUCAUGGCAGCAACAUCUCUAACAUUCACCACCUCUCCCAUCACCUCUCAGGGAAUGAUUGUGCUAUGACUGUUUUUGUUUAUUCACAGAGAACCAGCCCUGGAGCUAUUGUCACCUCAGCCCUGCACUUCCUGGCAGACUCUUCCUCCUCAAAAGGCUGAGGGGUGAGUUCCUCCACCACAAUUCAAGUUAGACAAGGCAGGUCCUUUUCAGACCUUCACAAUUCUGUAGGGCUAUAGCUUUUGGACCUUUGCCUUUGUCUUGCAGAGCUGCUUGUCCUGACCCUAUCCAGACCUAAAGUUCAUCCCAGGCCUUAACUCUCCCUAAUCCCUAUUUACUCUAAUUUUCACUGGCUUUAUAUACAUCUAGUGUACAAUUUCCUAAAUAAGCCUUCUGCUUCCAUCUCUUCUGCAGUCUUCACUAACCUCUAGGCUAAGCAGAGUGGGGUGGAAUCAGUGGACAAGAUUCAUUCUUAUUCUAGCACCUCAUUCUAGAGAUGCCUUGUUGGUGCAGACAUAGUUCUGUCAUGCCUGGAGAGAGCAGGCAGACAGUCCUUGAGAAUGGCAUAGGGCAUGAAAUGCCUCCUUAAUAGGGGAUGGCUUACUAGAGAUGUGUCAGUUGUAUAUACAUGAGAGUGACAUAGGCAUCCCUCGAAGCAAAAAUGUCGGAACUGUGCAGCCUACCAAGCAUAGACAUCCCAAUGCAGGACAUAGGUGUGUUAAAAACUGUGGGGAAGUAGUCAAGGUGAAUCAUUGUCAUGCACCACAGUGUCUAAAAUGAUGCUGGAUGCCUGCCUACUUUCAGUCCCAAGUCAUAAUCUUAGCGUCCUGUGAGCUGAGGGAUCCCAAAUCACCUUACCCUCUAUAUGCCAUAGAUAUGUGGCACUCUGUUCCGAUUGGAAGUGAGGACAGAUAGCCCUGUUCAAGUCAUGCUAAGCAGUCCUAUAUAUUUUGGCUGCAUAGAAACAGCCUCCUACCUCUGGACAGUAAUGUGUAAUUGAUUUGAUUUUCCAAAAGCCUGCGUAUGAAGGCCACUUGUCUGCUGAAUUUUAAUUUGCCUUGUCUUGGUGAAACAGUCUGUGCUGCCAUAUCUUUUCCCUUAGGCUUCCUUGCUAAGAUGGUUGCUACGUCUCAUAGCAUUCAGGAGAAAUCUUCUCCAACUCCUCCACUAUUUAUUUUUAGAUUUCAAUGAGAAAAAACCCAUCUACAACUCUAGGCAAUGACAGCUAUUUGGGAUCAGAAGCAAUGCUGAAAUAAUCAUGCUUAUACACUGCAACAAUAAAUUCCAAGCAGCACUUCGAAGCAGUGGAACAAGCCCACCUCAGAACUGCUUUAUCAGCUAUCCCCCUUUAAGAAGAUUAAACUGUUAUAUUUCUCUGCUGCUGCUUUCAUCUUCCUUCUGUGAGUGUCAUCCAAGCCUCCAGGCAGGCAUAGCUGCUUAUCCUCAUCUGGAGACUUUAAGUCAGGAAAAAUGAGGGUGAGGGAGAAAAAAAAAUACAGACAUAUUUGUCAAUAAGCAGUGAGUAUGUAUGAGAAGAGCAUGGUUAAAAAAUGGAAGCCAUGGCCAGGGACAGAUGUCUCAGGCCCCAGGUAAGUGGUUUUCUAACACUACAACAUAAACUCAGAGCUUGGACACUGCUUGAAAACUUUUGUUUUGCACUGACACAUUGACAACGACUUCUACAAAGAUCCGGAUCACUACUGUAAUUAGCACCUAUUAUUGUUAUGGCUGCAGAUGGGACAUUAAGGACAUGAUUUCCUAUUAAUUUACACCAGUAAAUGGUUAAGGCAUCAUUAUUAUUUGCUGGCAAAGGUCAGCAAAGAUGACUGCUUUGGGCAGAACAAAGUAUGAAAAAUAAGGGCCAUUUCAAAGAGAUAUUUUAGAUAAAUACUUUCCUUUAGAAUCUUCCCUCCAUAAUGCAUUUCUACUUUCAAUCAUGUGAAUAAUUUGCCAAAAGGUUCAAUUUGUUGUCAAAAAUAGCACUUAGCUGCUUUCAUACAUUUUAAUAUAUCUUCAUGAUGUAUUAAAUUAAUGAAUCACCUUGUGUGUACUGCUGGUUUUAACUCUGGUAAAGUUAAGCUUCAAGUUAAUAUUUGGGAGGUCUUGGGAAUCCUAUAAAGAAAUGUAGCUUCCUUCGGUGUUUGUAAAAAUGAAAAUUGUUGUUUCAAAUCGAACAUAAAGGAUUGGAUUUCAAACCAAAGAUAGUGUGGAGAAAUGAGACAGUCUUUUGCAAAAAGGACCCGAUAUCUGAGUGCUGCUUGUAAUUCUGUAAACUCAGAUAUUUCUUUUGCUCCCUUCAACAAAGUUAUUGAGUUCUCAGGGACUCAAAACAGGUGAAUGGAGACAUGUAAGUAGUUUGGUUUUUAAGAGAGAAUUUCGGAGUCUGUGUUCCCUAAGCCAUUCAGCCCUGCCUCAAGCCCAUUUCUCUUCCAGACACUGCCAUCCAAGCUGUGGAGCUCUCUUUUUGCAGCUUCCUCAGUAAUUCAGAGCAUGAAUACAGUAGCAAAGCACAGUAAAACACUUCAAGCCUGAAGUCCUCUACAGGCCAUUGAGUCUACAUGUCCAUUGCCAGGAACUUGGGGAAGUGUCUCCCAGAAUGUUCCAGUUCAUUUGCAAGUCAGCUGCUUUGCUGCCAUGUUUCCAAAUCCUUCCCAGUACACUGAAUCUUUCCAAGUAACGGGAGCUGGUUGCAUUACAUGGCAAGCAACUGCUAUGUACAAAAAAUUUCCAGAUCCUUUCUUCCAUGCAUGCCAUUUCUGUACCACGGUUACUAGUGCAAAACCAGAAGCCUGGGCAAUGAUGUGUUUUAAUGGGCAGAGUCUCAAAUGUGAAGUCAAGUUCAUGAUUCCUAUUUCAGAUGUACGGAACUGUUGAGUUUUAGGACAACACAAAAAAGACAGUUUCUUGGAGAAUGAUGCUUAUCUUUUGUGGAAAGACCAGUAUUCCAUGGAAUGAUUUCUGCCUUAGCAACCAGGUUGAAUCCACAGUCAUCCUGCUAAAUGUUGCUCUGCUGAGGUCUGAUCAAUUUGUAGAAAUGUAGCUCUAACUUCCAGCUAAUUGCUAUUUUAGUUGGUGCUUAUUAUUAUCACUAAACAUUUAUACUACAGUUCAUCAAGCUUUUUCAAUCACAGUUGACACGUUAGUCUACUAACAACUGUAUAGGUAGAUUGACUGAAGAAUUUAUCAUCUCAUAUAAAUAGCAAAUAUAGAGGCUACAACAAUCACAGUGUAUACUUGAUGUAUGUCUUUUACUUUUUGAGAGUAGGAUGAAUUUUUGAAAAUAGAAGGGUACACUGCUAUUCCUCUUUCUCUUGACCCAUACUAGAGCUUCUCUUUAGGGUAACCAGCCCUACAUUACCCUCUCAUCAACUUUGUAUCUCCUCAAGCCAAAAAAGCUGAGAGAGCUUUCUAGGUGAAGUGAACCUCUCAGGAGACAAGUGAGAGCUACAGAGUGCUAGUUGUAUGAACAACAGGGAUGGAGCUGAGAUUUUCUGGAAAAAAACUCAAACCACUAGAUCCAAAUGGUUGUGUCAAAAGCUGCUCUGUUUGCAUAUGGACAUGUUUUCCUGUCUUGCAAGUACCAGUGUGUUCUUGGCCCCCCUAAUUUCCUUUUCUAUUGCCUGAAUAGCAGAAAAAAUUAAAAUUCAUUGCUGCUACUACUUCCUGGAAACUCCAGGCAUCUUGUGGACCACUGCAAUUGUGCUGAUUUGCAAAUCCUGAAACCAGUACCUUAUAUCUUCUAACUCCCUUGGUUACCUACCCAUGUUCCCAUAGAACUUUGGUGAAAUUAUUAUUUCCUGACCUUCUAAUUAAUCCCUUUGGUGACAAUGUUGUAGGAAAAUGAGGAACAAAGCACAAAAAGAGGAUUAGAAAAGAGCCUGCCACUAAAAUAAUUGUUUCUAAGAGCAUAUAGUUGCAAUAUGUUUGAAGAGUCACAAAAAUCCAGAACAAUGUGGAACCCACCCAUCUGCCAAGACCUCUCUUUAUUUUCUAAUUUAUACACGAUUUCUUAUUUUAGAUGUUUCUUUCUGAAAAAGAAUUUUACCUUUUUAAGAUAAGUGCUUUUUUUAGCUUUGUACAUUUUUUUGGGCAAAGAUCUUGGAACUGGCAUCUGCCAACAGGAAAUCAGUUGUCAGAGGAAUUAUUAAUGACUGUGUACCAGAUACAUUUAAAAUCUUCAUUUGUGUUCUUGCAUGUAUUAUGGAUAUUCAGAAAUUUUGACUGAGUGACUUGCCUGGAGAACGUAACUGUUUUCAGCAAACAAUAAGAAAAGUUCUUGAAUACUUUCUGCUUAACUUUUUUCAUAACCAAGUAACUACUCAUGUAUUUCUUCCAUGAUUAACUAACUAGUUCAUUUGUGAAGAAAAGAUUUCUGAAACCAUUUGGAAUAGUGCCCUAUAGUGACUUUACUGCUGUAACAAUAAACCUGACUUCAGAAGUGAUAUUCCACACUUUUUCUAAGUCUUGCUUUCAUUUUUCAUUCUUCCUUUUGAUUCUUCAUUUAAAUAAUUUCCUUUGAAAAGCUGGAAGGCAUUUUGGAACAUCCUCUGCUAUUUGCCAAGCCCAGGUUAUGCCUACCAUGCAAUACGUGCUGCCAUUUCCAUUAAGCUUUAGAAAUGUCUGCUUUG
Long non-coding RNA from Pseudopipra pipra, 6439 nucleotides. RefSeq lists it as uncharacterized. The transcript has 3 exons. The record is from RefSeq and is a predicted model, not a curated record. NCBI's taxonomy places the organism in Eukaryota, Metazoa, Chordata, Aves, Passeriformes, Pipridae.